UACGUAGGGGGCAAGCGUUGUCCGGAAUCAUUGGGCGUAAAGAGCGUGUAGGCGGCCAGAUAAGUCCGCUGUGAAAACUCGAGGCUCAACCUGGGAACUGCGUCCGAUACUGGCAGGCUUGAAUCCGGGAGAGGGAUGUGGAAUUCCAGGUGUAGCGGUGAAAUGCGUAGAUAUCUGGAGGAACACCGGUGGCGAAGGCGGCAUCCUGGACCGGUAUUGACGCUGAGGCGCGAAAGCUAGGGGAGCAAACGGG
Molecule: ribosomal RNA, 253 nt
Filed under: uncultured bacterium
Lineage: Bacteria
Description: partial 16S ribosomal RNA
Rfam family: Bacterial small subunit ribosomal RNA
Source: RNAcentral